This 66-nucleotide non-coding RNA is filed under the name Gulosibacter sp. 10. Lineage: Bacteria; Bacillati; Actinomycetota; Actinomycetes; Micrococcales; Microbacteriaceae. The record is from RNAcentral. RNAcentral also lists the same sequence under 1 other name.
GUGAGGUCCGGCGAUCGGGCCUGCGGACGAGGGAGCAGUACCCGCACACGACAAGACUGACUCGAA